CCAGUGAGGGUAUUAAGGACGGCACGUUGUCCUUGUAACAGGGAUCCAGCAGGGUGGCCACCCAGUAAUCAGCACAAGUUAGAAUGUGGGCAACUCAGCAGUUGUUGCGCAGGCACUUUGGUGACUCUAGAUAACCUCGGGCCGAUCGCACAUCUCCGUGACGGCGAUGACACAUUCGGAUGUCUGCCCUAUCAACUUUCGAUGUUACUUUCUGCACCUACCAUGGUGAACACGGGUAAUGGGGAAUCAGGGUUCGAUUCCG
Pelobates cultripes (western spadefoot toad) is the source of this 262-nucleotide non-coding RNA. The record is from the annotation of a GenBank genome assembly. Lineage: Eukaryota; Metazoa; Chordata; Amphibia; Anura; Pelobatidae.